This 533-nucleotide ribosomal RNA is filed under the name uncultured bacterium. RNAcentral describes it as "bacterial SSU rRNA". It matches the Rfam family "Bacterial small subunit ribosomal RNA", at positions 89 to 619 of the family's 1533-position model. The record is from RNAcentral.
UUGAGAGCGGCGGACGGGUGAGUAAUGCCUAGGAAUCUGCCUGGUAGUGGGGGAUAACGUUCGGAAACGGACGCUAAUACCGCAUACGUCCUACGGGAGAAAGCAGGGGACCUUCGGGCCUUGCGCUAUCAGAUGAGCCUAGGUCGGAUUAGCUAGUUGGUGAGGUAAUGGCUCACCAAGGCGACGAUCCGUAACUGGUCUGAGAGGAUGAUCAGUCACACUGGAACUGAGACACGGUCCAGACUCCUACGGGAGGCAGCAGUAGGGAAUCUUCCGCAAUGGACGAAAGUCUGACGGAGCAACGCCGCGUGAGUGACGAAGGUUUUCGGAUCGUAAAACUCUGUUGUGAGGGAAGAACACGUACCAGCUAACUACUGGUACCUUGACGGUACCUCACCAGAAAGCCACGGCUAACUACGUGCCAGCAGCCGCGGUAAUACGUAGGUGGCAAGCGUUGUCCGGAAUUAUUGGGCGUAAAGCGCGCGCAGGCGGUCCUUUAAGUCUGAUGUGAAAGCCCACGGCUCAACCGUGGA